RNAcentral lists this ribosomal RNA (117 nucleotides) under Foraminifera environmental sample. RNAcentral describes it as "partial Eukaryotic small subunit ribosomal RNA". It matches the Rfam family "Eukaryotic small subunit ribosomal RNA", at positions 539 to 655 of the family's 1831-position model. Lineage: Eukaryota; Foraminifera. The record is from RNAcentral.
AAUUUUCAAGUGGAGGGCAAGUCUGGUGCCAGCAGCCGCGGUAAUACCAGCUCCACUGGCCUAUACAAUCAUUGUUGCGGUUAAGAGGCUCGUAGUUGGAUUGAACAAAUUUAAUAA